Molecule: long non-coding RNA, 264 nt
Filed under: Phaseolus vulgaris (common bean)
Lineage: Eukaryota; Viridiplantae; Streptophyta; Magnoliopsida; Fabales; Fabaceae
Description: long non-coding RNA (PVUL_LNC003570)
Source: RNAcentral
GAAAGAAAACAGCAGUUUGAUCCAAGAAUGAUUCUAUCACCUGGACAAAGAAUCUUUAACAAUUUAAACUAGCUUUGCUGGAAAAAAAAAAAGAGGUUACACAUAUGGUGGGACUACCCAAGUUAGCUAGCUGGCUCAGCACAAGUGUACACAUAGGACCCAGAGUUCAGAUGAUAGGUUUUGUACUUGUUUUUGUUAAGAGGGUGGGGUUUAAAGCUGCAUGACUUUGGCAUAUAUGUAGAUCAGGUUACACAUACUUUAGAU